RNAcentral lists this ribosomal RNA (253 nucleotides) under uncultured bacterium. RNAcentral's name for it is "partial 16S ribosomal RNA". It matches the Rfam family "Bacterial small subunit ribosomal RNA", at positions 524 to 776 of the family's 1533-position model. The record is from RNAcentral.
UACGAAGGGGGCUAGCGUUGUUCGGAAUUACUGGGCGUAAAGCGCACGUAGGCGGAUCGAUCAGUCAGGGGUGAAAUCCCAGGGCUCAACCCUGGAACUGCCUUUGAUACUGUCGAUCUGGAGUAUGGAAGAGGUGAGUGGAAUUCCGAGUGUAGAGGUGAAAUUCGUAGAUAUUCGGAGGAACACCAGUGGCGAAGGCGGCGAUCUGGGAAGAUACUGACGCUGAGGUGCGAAAGCGUGGGGAGCAAACAGG